UUUAUUUUGUAGGGUAAAUUGGUGAUUGAGUUUCUUCAUCCUAUUCAUCUCUAAACACGUGUAUUCCACUUUCAAUUUAUAUUUUUUUACUGCCACACUCCAAUAGUCCAUUCUAGAAACUAUUCUGAUCAUCAUCCUUCAAUUUGAUCUCUUUGAGAUGUUUUAAUUUGGUUCCAAGUUUUCUCGGCUAAUUUCUCUAUUUCUCAAUUAGUUUGAGUUUUCUGCUUUCUUUUCUUUGUUUAAUCACCACUGCUUCUUACAUGACUCACUUCUUAGUUUUACUGUUUUUAUAUAGCCCUCCAUUGAAUCUAUGGGUUCUGGUAAGGAUUUUUACUCUUUUUCUUUUUGCUGCAAGAUUUAUAGUAAUUGCAACAGUCUCUAUUUUGAGCCCUAAAUCCCUCCUUAAGAUGUUAAUGGAAACUUGUGCAAUUUGUGUCCCCUCGGAGGGCAUCCGAUUGAAAAGAAUAUAACUUGUGAAAUUGGUUAGUUUGGGAACAAGGUGUGGGUCUACUGUGUUUUCUGAUAUAGUAAGUUUUUUUCAAUUCUUUCUUUGAUUUUUGCCUUUGUUUCUUGGUAAUAAGAAUUUGGUGGAUAUUUGUUAGUUUUUCUAGAUUCUCUUGCAUAGGUUCUUGCUGGAUUUUGUAUAUGCAUGUCACUACUGUUUCUUAUUUACAGAUGCAUGUUUGUAUAUAGAUGUCUAGGUGCAUGUUUGAGAUACAUAAUUGUUUCUAAUUUUAAUUGAGUAAGAUUGGUACUUUCAACUGGAGCCCAAGCUCCGUUCUUGAAGCAGUGUCAUUGGAUUUUACCAUCGCUCUCUUGGCAUGAUUAUUCUUUUUCUAUAUUUUUUAUGAAGUAAACAAAGAUAUUGAUGCAAUGGCAUUGGAAAAGAUAAGGUUACCCGUUUGUUGCAUUUGAUUUGGUUUUCUUUCCCAUUAUCAGAUCUUUCAGUUCAAUUGGCUUCCAGUUACCGAUGCCUAUAAGCACUGAGCACAAUCAUCCUCUAUUGUUAACUAUGUCUCUAUUUCUUGGCCAUUAGACAUUCUCUUCUAAUGAUCACCCUAUCUGUUUUGCAUGGUUUUUGGUUUUUCUUUAGCUCUACUACUCUUUCCAAUAAGCUUCAACUUGCCUCAUUUUCUUUUGGCCUACUGCUUGGUUGAUUCACUGAGUCUGCACAUGCAUGCUCUUAUAGUUGACCAUUUUUUUGUGAAUUUUAUUUUAGUGAUUUUUUCAUGUAACAUGAGAGACAACAUUGCAAUGAUUAAAUUAUAUACAUGUUACAUAUGUUUUCUUUAUAUGACACAGAAUACGUGUUUGGAGAAAAGUCACUGUUAGAAAGUCAAGCUUUCUUUGUAAGGUUCAAGAGUAAAAUCUCAGCUUUGUAUACUUUCUAAGUUUAAAGAUUGAGCUUUCAGGUUGCUUACAUUUCCCAAGGAUGACAGCUAAUUUGUAUACGCAUCCAAGUUCAAAGGCUACAACUAUCCUGCAGGAGUUCAAAGACCUUGAGGUCAAAUUAAAUGAAUCAUGACAUAAUGGAUUUUCAGCCUCCAUAGAGAUCACUCUCAUGGAAAUCAACAAGAAUCAACUGAACACAUUUCUCAAUCCAUCAACUGAAAAUGGUAAUUCAAGAAGUCUAUUUUGCAAGCUUACAAUUUAGUAUAUAUAAUACAUUUUGGGUAGCUUAUAGACUUUGUUUCUAUGACUUAUCUUCAAGACUUCCUAACUUAGAUUGCGCACAUCCUUAAAUCUUAGCCUUCUCCGGUUUAAAGUUUCGAGCUGAUGUUAAAUUUAAGUAUUUAUGCUAACACAAUUUGAGUUCUAUUUUCGUCUGUUUUGAUAUACAAUGAAGUAGUUAUGUCUAUAUGUGUCUGAGACCAAAUGCAAAAAGAUUUCAAGAAAUAUUAUAGACAUUGCAAAACAGAAAGACUUAAUCGUUCAAUGGCCGUGACUAUGUCCUAUCAUAGAUUGAGAAAGAUAAAUUUACUCUUUUUCAUCAAAUGAAUUGUCUCAAUGCAAAAUCAAGUAAAUUUGCAUCUAAUGUUGUUGAAUCGUUGAUAAUGUGGAUUGGAAAAAUGAUGACAAUUUAAAAUUACAAAACUGUAACUUCAUUGCAAUCUUAAGGAGGCCAGACAAACGAAACAAGCUCUCUUACCAUGGCUAUGGCCUCUCACUUUUAAAUUCAUUCUUUUGCACUUCACAUGUUAUUUAGAAAAUGGUAUACCCUGCUUCUUGUUGAGGCUUUGCCUGCAAAGCUACUCAGUAAUGGAAAGGAGAGAAAUAUCAUGCAAAAUUAAUUUUUUGUAGUGGAGAAGGAAAAUGGUGACUUUGUACCACUGUUGCUGCCUUUCUUCUUGCUGCUCCGUGUUUAUAGUUUCUGCCUUUGUAUGAAUAAUGAACUAAAAACGUUUUAUUAAUUGUUAUAUUAUAAUUUUAUAUUUCGUA
Molecule: long non-coding RNA, 2439 nt
Organism: Nicotiana tabacum (common tobacco)
Lineage: Eukaryota; Viridiplantae; Streptophyta; Magnoliopsida; Solanales; Solanaceae
Source: RefSeq, a predicted model, not a curated record